This is a long non-coding RNA of Vidua chalybeata, 902 nucleotides long. RefSeq lists it as uncharacterized. The transcript is spliced from 3 exons. The record is from RefSeq and is a predicted model, not a curated record. Lineage: Eukaryota; Metazoa; Chordata; Aves; Passeriformes; Viduidae.
UUAACCCAGCACUGCCAAGUCCACCACUAAACCACCUCCCCAAGUGUCAAAUCCUUGUUUGAACAUUUCCAGGGAUGAUGAUUCCACCACUUCCCUCGAAAGCCUGUUCCAAUGUCUGCUCCACUUUUUCUCCAGACAGAUGACAUGUAGAAUGCCAAGUAAAUCUGCCAUUUCUCUGUCCAUUUUCAUCUAAUUAGUAACAUCAUCAGGAGAAAACAUCACCACCAGAGUUGACAAAGACCAUUCAAGCACUCUACCAGCAGAAAGACAGAUCUUGAAACAGGACUGUGUAGUUGUGAUGAUGAACCAGGGGAAUGAUGCAGCUGACUCCCUCACAACUGAUAACUUCGGAUGAUUUCUCCACAUGAUUCACUUGGAACCCUUUGCUGAUCCUCAUCAUGAAAGAAUUAUAAAAAAAGGGCAGGAAUGGACUGUAUGUUUAAGUGUCAAAAACAACUCUACGCCUUUCAGAAACAGGGAAACAAGGAAACCAGUAAAAUAUACAUUUGUCUACCAUAAAGUGUCAAAAUUUAGAGGAACGCACUACCCCUUGAUAAAUUGUAAACUGUGCUAAAGUUAUGACAUGUAUUUUAUCUAAGUCCACACUGCAUAUUAUUCCCCUUAGCAAAACUUUUUGAUAAACUCAGAAUGCUUAACACAGGCAUAACAGUGCUCAAUAUGUUUGGUGUUACAUUUAAAAGCUUUCAUUUGCUAAAGUUCUCAUGUGUUAUUAAAAUCACUGCUUGGAUGUGGUACAAUUUGUACUAAAGGAUAACAUUCAAACUAAACAUACAGCUUUUUAACAGAUGUUUAAUUAUAGCAGCUCCUCAAACUCUGAAAUCAUUUGUGGAACUCAUGUUAUUUCAGAUGAAACUACUUACAUAACAAUAUGGGCUACUUUG